Molecule: unclassified non-coding RNA, 1423 nt
Filed under: Hevea brasiliensis (rubber tree)
Lineage: Eukaryota; Viridiplantae; Streptophyta; Magnoliopsida; Malpighiales; Euphorbiaceae
Source: RNAcentral
AUAAUCUAUAUGUCAAGCCAUAUCCAGAGUGUGGAAAAAUGUUUGGAAGGUUUUCAGGAGAUGUUCAGGUUAAAAGACAACAUCCUAUUGGACUAUGGAAAAUGUUUAAACCACAAAAGCAUCCAGAGUCGAAAGAAGAUGUGAAUAACAUGAAGUCCUUCAUGGAAGGCCUUGUUUAGUCGAGAUGAGUGAUCCUCAUGAUUCAUUAUCUUUGUAUUUCAAAUGAUCUUUUUCAUGGGAUUGUGCUGUUCUUAUCUUUGAGAUAAACUGCAACUAUUGUUAACAACUUUAAGAAGGGCCUUGUUGAUGUAACGUGUCAAAAUAUACUGGAUUGGCCUUGGUAGUUGACUUUAAAAAGUCUGGAGAAUGCAAGAGAAAUUGCAGUUUAUAGUUUGGAGAAGUUGUUUCCAUAAAAUCUUGGUGGUUAUCUAAGUGCCAUUAAAAUUCUCCAUGGAGAAGAAGCCAGCUGGUCGCAAUAUCUUCACAUCAAGGGGUUACAUGAAGUUGUAUACUACAAGGUAAACUAGUAGACUUUUUACUCUUUGGUUCUGUUCCUUUGUCAAUUUUAUCACCAAUGAUAAAAAUUCAAAAACAAAAAAAACCAUAAAAUCACGUAACAUUUUUGUCGUUAUUGCCAUCUUUUGACGAUUUAAUGCCUGUUUCUAAUAGUUUUUUAUUUGUUCAAAUCCUGGCAUGUACAACUGGCACUGAAGUUGAUGUUCCACAACUCAUGGAUGCUUUAUAGCAAUUCUAAAGUUGUUUUUGGCCAUUAUGGAGAGGCUUUUCAUGGGCGUCAUCUGCAUAUUCUGAAAUCAAUUUAUGGUGCAGAAGCAAGAAUCAAUGGACAACAAACCAAAGCCAGAUUGCACUUGCAUCUCUUAUGGAGGCCAAAUUUCAGUUAAACAGGCAUCCCAGUGAGCAUAUUUGAGUUGGCAUUUGUUCAGUGUAUACUCUUAAGUCCAUGCUGCAUAAAAACAUUAAAACCAACCCUACAAAUCAUCACAAAAAAUCCCUCUCCAUUCAAACACUAGGAUCUGUGGAAAAGCAAUCAAAGCAACUAAAAUAAGUUAUUUAUACUCCAACCUAAGGUAGUGAGGGAAAAUCUGCCGUUCAGGUUGGGGGAGAGGCCUUCCCCUGUUCAGAAGGUGCGAGAAAGGCCUUAGAAGGUAAGAGUCAACAAGCUCAACAAGCUCCUAAGAAAGAGAACUAGAAAAAAUCGAGAAAUUUCUCCGAAAAGCUAGAAUGAGAGAGAUUUCUCCAAAAAGCUAGAAUGAGAGAGAGGCUGAGUUGCUAGACAAACCAUCUAGUAAAUUGGCAUAUUUCGCCUAUAUCUGCGCCCAUCAAUGAAUUUAAUAAAUAAUGUCAUGCUUUUGAAUUGCUGGAAAUCCACAUUUUUGGAGAAUAUAAUAUAUUUGGUUUCUAU